UUCCCAGACUCCUACGGGAGGCAGCAGUGGGGAAUAUUGCACAAUGGGGGAAACCCUGAUGCAGCAACGCCGCGUGAAGGAAGACGGUUUUCGGAUUGUAAACUUCUAUCAAUAGGGAAGAAAGAAAUGACGGUACCUAAAUAAGAAGCCCCGGCUAACUACGUGCCAGCAGCCGCGGUAAUACGUAGGGGGCAAGCGUUAUCCGGAAUUACUGGGUGUAAAGGGAGCGUAGACGGUGAAGUAAGUCUGGAGUGAAAGGCGGGGGCCCAACCCCCGGACUGCUCUGGAAACUAUUUGACUGGAGUGCAGGAGAGGUAAGCGGAAUUCCUAGUGUAGCGGUGAAAUGCGUAGAUAUUAGGAGGAACACCAGUGGCGAAGGCGGCUUACUGGACUGUAACUGACGUUGAGGCUCGAAAGCGUGGGGAGCAAACAGGAUUAGAUACCCGUGUA
This 450-nucleotide ribosomal RNA is filed under the name uncultured bacterium. RNAcentral describes it as "bacterial SSU rRNA". It matches the Rfam family "Bacterial small subunit ribosomal RNA", at positions 328 to 792 of the family's 1533-position model. The record is from RNAcentral.